GACGAACGCUGGCGGCGUGCUUAACACAUGCAAGUCGAACGGUAAGGCCCUGCUUUUGUGGGGUGCUCGAGUGGCGCACGGGUGAGUAACACGUGUGUAACCUGCCCUUUACUUUGGGAUAACUUCUGGAAACUGGGGCUAAUACCGGAUAGGAGCUCCUUCUGCAUGGUGGGGGUUGGAAAGUUUCGGCGGUUGGGGAUGGACUGGCGGUUCAUCAGCUUGUUGGCGAGGUAGUGGAUUACCAAGGCUUUGACGGGUAGCCGGACUGAGAGGGUGACCGGCCACAUUGGGACUGAGAUACGGCCCAGACUCCUACGGGAGGCAGCAGUGGGGAAUAUUGCACAAUGGGCGGAAGCCUGAUGCAGCAACGCCGCGUGCGAGAUGACGGCCUUCGGGUUGUAAACCGCUUUCGCCUGUGACGAAGCGUGAGUGACGGUAAUGGGUAAAGAAGCACCGGCUAACUACGUG
Molecule: ribosomal RNA, 468 nt
Filed under: uncultured bacterium
Lineage: Bacteria
Description: partial 16S ribosomal RNA
Rfam family: Bacterial small subunit ribosomal RNA
Source: RNAcentral